Molecule: small nuclear RNA, 21 nt
Filed under: Arabidopsis thaliana (thale cress)
Lineage: Eukaryota; Viridiplantae; Streptophyta; Magnoliopsida; Brassicales; Brassicaceae
Description: snRNA_14604
Source: RNAcentral
GCCCGGGCGGAGCGGCCGUCG